Myotis lucifugus (little brown bat) is the source of this 773-nucleotide long non-coding RNA. RefSeq lists it as uncharacterized. Lineage: Eukaryota; Metazoa; Chordata; Mammalia; Chiroptera; Vespertilionidae. The transcript is spliced from 2 exons. The record is from RefSeq and is a predicted model, not a curated record.
UCCAGAAACUUCAUUAUAACCAAACAACCACAAAAAAGAAAAACUGUUAUAACCCAAUUUCUAAGAAAGGAACAUAUGUUAUGCGUUACUGGAAAAACCUAUGCUUAAGAGAUUUUUAAGGUUCUUUAUUGUGAGUCUCCGGAAAUACACUUCUCCAGGAGUUUCUUUCCUGCUGAAUUUUGAAUCAGGGCUUUUGCUGUGUCUGGGUCUUUUCCUGCACCGUCCCUGCCUGCCAAGGCAGGCCCCAAAGCCAGCAGCGUCUGCCUGAGGACGUGGAAAAAGGACUGAGACCUCUGCUACUGAAUUGUCAUCCCCUAUGGGGUCAAGUCUCUCUAAGUCCUUCUCAAAAGGCACUUCUGUUGCUCAACAUGGAAGGGGUUGGUCCUCCGGCACCUGGGGGAUGGCCGACUAGCUCUCCAGCCAAGAGCAGGCCCCACCCAUGCCGAAUCCGAAAAUCCCUCACGGAGGGGCACUGACCGAUGUUUGUGCCCUUUCACUCACCACCGGUAACUGGUACCGAAAGUUAAGGAUGCAGGACGCCGGCAGACGUUGAAGAGUUUCGUGCCUGAGGAGCAUCCACGAGCCACCUCUCCACAACAGAGGCCCUCGGCCGGGCUGUGUCCGGGCCUCAACGUCACACAGGCCAGGACGAUACCAGUGCCGAAGUGCAGAACUGAACAUGCCCCGGGGAGUGGGCUCGGGGCAGGGAGAAUCAAAGCCGGGACAGAAUACACUCAUCCUCCCAAGUUUCCAGCAACUUCUUUUCCAGCUGG